GAUGAACGCUGGCGGCGUGCCUAAUACAUGCAAGUCGAGCGAACAGACGAGGAGCUUGCUCCUCUGACGUUAGCGGCGGACGGGUGAGUAACACGUGGAUAACCUACCUAUAAGACUGGGAUAACUUCGGGAAACCGGAGCUAAUACCGGAUAACAUGUUGAACCGCAUGGUUCAACAGUGAAAGACGGUCUUGCUGUCACUUAUAGAUGGAUCCGCGCCGCAUUAGCUAGUUGGUAAGGUAACGGCUUACCAAGGCAACGAUGCAUAGCCGACCUGAGAGGGUGAUCGGCCACACUGGAACUGAGACACGGUCCAGACUCCUACGGGAGGCAGCAGUAGGGAAUCUUCCGCAAUGGGCGAAAGCCUGACGGAGCAACGCCGCGUGAGUGAAGAAGGUCUUCGGAUCGUAAAACUCUGUUAUUAGGGAAGAACAAAUGUGUAAGUAACUAUGCACGUCUUGACGGUACCUAAUCAGAAAGCCACGGCUAACUACGUG
This 497-nucleotide ribosomal RNA is filed under the name uncultured bacterium. RNAcentral's name for it is "partial 16S ribosomal RNA". It matches the Rfam family "Bacterial small subunit ribosomal RNA", at positions 28 to 507 of the family's 1533-position model. The record is from RNAcentral.